GCCGGCGAAUCACAAGCUAAAGGUCAUACCCACACAUCAUCAGGUUCAAGCGGCUUACACACCUACACAUCUGGUAAACUGACUAAUGGAACCUUGGAUGAAUCCGAAACAAAUGCGCCAGGAGCUGGUGCCGUGUUUGGUGCCGUGUUUGGUGCCAUCGUGAUAGUCUCACUGGGUAUAAUCGGGGGGUAUACUGGUCUACAGAAGACGGCAUUGUAACCACCGAGAUGUUCGUGUGUCACAGGGACCUGAAGCAGUUUUCCUGUCACAGCCAGAAGAGAUAAGCCCACAGACUGACGCCGAACACGAAUCAGACUAGUUUACAGUUCAGGACACAUCGGGUUCAUCCAAUAUCUGAUGAAACAUUUUUUACACAGCCAUGAAGGUUGUGUUGAUGACAAGUCAUGAGGUCCUAUCCUCCCUGUACGAACUACAAAGGACAGGGACAAACUGGGCUAUGCUGGUCAGCACAUGACGAACGUCAACUCCCUCCUCGAUAAGCUCACUCCACGCCAGGGUGUCAUCAGUUGCCGGGAACAUCUAGAGCAGGAUCGUGACCUGAAUGAGACUCUAAUAACGCUGACACGUGGUGAAACUCACUCAUUCUGAUGUUCAUUUGACGCUGUGUAACUAUUGUGGCUAUGUUAUUGUAUCAAACAUUAUGAGGGAAGACAACAUGACACUUUAUUGAUAUUAGGAUUCAGUCAUAUCUAUAAGGUUGUAUGUAAAGUGAGGUAAGGUGAAACUGAUUCAAGGUUGCGUUCAAGACGAUUUCUCUUCCACAGCAACGCGCAUAAUGUGUAUAAUGUUCUCUAUACUUGACCGGACUGAUACAGUCUAGGUUUAGACCACUGGGAUAACAAUGCUAGUGUGAAAGGGAUACAUCUCUCACUCAAAGAAUUUCUGGUAAUUAAGAAUAAUAUGAAUACAUGAGAACACCAAUGGUCAUAUUGUAAAAACUCUGAUUCCUUAAGACAUGGUAAGGUAGUCGUGGAGUCGUACAAUAGACUUUGCUUUCAGCAGAUAUGUCAUUUAUUGCUCAUCUGUAUAUGUUCCUAAAAUGUAGACUUGGGUGCAGUGACAAGAAGAAAACAUGCAGCAGUUUGCCUGUAUUGUAUUUACAUCAUAAGCAUCUUCCUUCAGUUGUACACUCUUCAAGUUGUAAAAUUUGUUUUUGCACAAAUUGUAUUGGCGUGAAAAAAGUUGAAAAGGAAUGAGAACACAUGUCUAUAUUACGACGUCCCUUCUUCUUUGUAUAACCCGUGAAGAUCCGGGUUAGAAUUGAUCUUCAGUAACCCAUGCCACUAACGGGAUAGGAUGGUCAGGCUGGCUGACUUGGUUGACACAUGUCGUACCCCAAUUGCUGUAUCAGCUGCCAUAUAUUUGUGACUAACUCAUUUGCAUUUUAUUACAACAUCAGUAGCAGGACGACGUCACGAACUGAACCCUUGUAGAAUGCACACACACGUAUUCUGUAAAUUCGUUGGUAACCUUCCACCUGAAUAAACCGACAUGCAUAAUAUCAAA
Haliotis rubra (blacklip abalone) is the source of this 1527-nucleotide long non-coding RNA. RefSeq lists it as uncharacterized. The transcript has 3 exons. NCBI's taxonomy places the organism in Eukaryota, Metazoa, Mollusca, Gastropoda, Lepetellida, Haliotidae. The record is from RefSeq and is a predicted model, not a curated record.